CCUUACGGCUCAGUAACACGUGGAUAACCUGCCCUUUGGGUCCGGCAUAACCCCGGGAAACUGGGGAUAAUUCCGGAUAACGCAUAUAUGCUGGAAUGCUUUAUGCGUCAAAUGGAUUCGUCUGCCCAAGGAUGGGUCUGCGGCCUAUCAGGUAGUAGUGGGUGUAAUGUACCUACUAGCCAACAACGGGUACGGGUUGUGAGAGCAAGAGCCCGGAGAUGGAUUCUGAGACAUGAAUCCAGGCCCUACGGGGCGCAGCAGGCGCGAAAACUUUACAAUGCGGGAAACCGUGAUAAGGGGACACCGAGUGCUAGCAUCAUAUGCUGGCUGUCCAGGUGUGUAAACUACACCUGUUAGCAAGGGCCGGGCAAGACCGGUGCCAGCCGCCGCGGUAACACCGGCGGCCCGAGUGGUGAUCGUGAUUAUUGGGUCUAAAGGGUCCGUAGCCGGUUUGGUCAGUCUUCCGGGAAAUCUGAUAGCUCAACUAUUAGGCUUUCGGGGGAUACUGCCAGGCUUGGAACCGGGAGAGGUAAGAGGUACUACAGGGGUAGGAGUGAAAUCUUGUAAUCCCUGUGGGACCACCUGUGGCGAAGGCGUCUUACCAGAACGGGUUCGACGGUGAGGGACGAAAGCUGGGGGCACGAACCGGAUUAGAUACCCGGGUAGUCCAGCCGUAAACGAUGCUCGCUAGGUGUCAGGCAUGGCGCGACCGUGUCUGGUGCCGCAGGGAAGCCGUGAAGCGAGCCACCUGGGAAGUACGGCCGCAAGGCUGAAACUUAAAGGAAUUGGCGGGGGAGCAC
This 800-nucleotide ribosomal RNA is filed under the name uncultured bacterium. RNAcentral describes it as "bacterial SSU rRNA". It matches the Rfam family "Archaeal small subunit ribosomal RNA", at positions 81 to 879 of the family's 1478-position model. The record is from RNAcentral.